CCAUGCCUCACGAUCUCCUCGGGCUUCAACCCCUCUGCGCUACUCAAGUCUCCGAUCCUCCUCACUGAUAUGAAGGCAUGGGUCUUAUUGGUGAUGUGCAAGGUAAGGGCCUUAUUGGUGUUAAUUUAUUCAAAAAACCAUAUGUUUCAGUUACUACGGAAGAUGCUUCCUCUAGUGAAAAUGAAGAUAUUGCAGAGUCAAAAGAUGAGAUCUUGCGGGCA
Molecule: long non-coding RNA, 221 nt
Filed under: Elaeis guineensis (African oil palm)
Lineage: Eukaryota; Viridiplantae; Streptophyta; Magnoliopsida; Arecales; Arecaceae
Description: long non-coding RNA (EGUI_LNC023104)
Source: RNAcentral